This 142-nucleotide ribosomal RNA is filed under the name uncultured Alphaproteobacteria bacterium. RNAcentral's name for it is "partial 16S ribosomal RNA". It matches the Rfam family "Bacterial small subunit ribosomal RNA", at positions 537 to 678 of the family's 1533-position model. Lineage: Bacteria; Pseudomonadati; Pseudomonadota; Alphaproteobacteria. The record is from RNAcentral.
AGCGUUGUUCGGAAUUACUGGGCGUAAAGCGCGCGCAGGCGGUUUUCCAAGUCAGUGGUGAAAGCCCGGAGCUCAACUCCGGAACUGCCAUUGAAACUGUUAAACUUGAGGACGAGAGAGGUGAGUGGAAUUCCCAGUGUAG